GAACUGAGAAGGAGACGAGCCAUCGAGGUCUCUUUACCCCUCUCUGGUGGCUCCUUAACUUGUCCUUGCUGUCGCCAGCCCGGGGACCGGCGUCCUUUGGCCUGGGUGGGGGAGCCCCCGGCUGGGACCCCCAAACCGCGGCUCGCCCGGCCCCGAGGCCGCGGAGUUGGGAGUCUCUGGGCGAGCCGUACACGGAGGCGGGCGAUUUCAGGGUGCCCAGAGGUGGGGUUUUCCCUCAUAUUUGUUUGCUUUUUCUUUCCUAGAAGUUAGAUAAAUUCUCGUCCUCGAGGCUAGCCGGUGCCUGUGCUCUCAGUGGGCUCCUGUCGGAGCUUCCUCCGGAAUGAUUCCAGAGGUGAUGACUGCAGGGAAGAAGUUACCAGUUUCUCACGUAUGAUGGCUGACAGGUCAUAACUAAAAAGGCUCUAAAUGAAAUAGAUGCUUAUCUUGAGAAUCCGGGAGAAGCUGGAGCUGAACCAACAUGCGGUGUGGAUUCGGGAUACACCUUUCUGCCUGCUCCAGUGAGGCAUCCAAACAGCCACAUUAAAGGGAGCUCAGUCUGAUUUCCUAAUAGGGCUACUCGUAUGGAUUUUAAUUUUUAAACAGAAGUACUCUUCUGCUGCCUGUCAAAGAGGGAGCUUGGGAGCAGAGGUACGAGAGGGCUUAUUUUCAGAAAUGGAAACAGAUCUGUUUAUGGUUUUUGUCACAAAUGAUGCUCUCCCAGCACGGGGUUAAACUCUGCCCUCGGUUAUUGAAUGCAAAUCCGUCGAUUUAAAUGGAGUUCAUUGCAAGUGGGAACAGGAUUUAGCGGUCAUUUUCUGCUGCUGCCUAAUCACUGUAGUCUGAAGAAAAGCAACAUAUGUAUAAUGGUAGCUGAGACGCAGGAGGGGUGGAAGCUUUCUACCAACAAGAACCACAUUAAAUAAUUAAUUCCCAAUUGCCUUUCUACAUUAGUGCUUUCAGCUAAAAAAGCUGGUCAGCUUUGUAAGGCCCCAGGCAAUGAAACAUUUGGUGCAUUGUCAGUCCAAAAGUGGAGGUAAUAGAUAUCCAGCGUGGCUGGGAAAGUGCUACUCUCCAUCCUGCCAUUUACAUAUUCCAGCUGCGCAGCCUCAUUCCUCAUCCCCUCUUUUGCCUUACUUAAGUUUGACAGGACAGCAUCUCCUCUGAGGUGGCUGCUGAGGAAGCCAAAAAUGUAUUUAUUUUAUCAAAAAACAGAGGAGCUUAUUGUUUGAGCCUAAAAAUGGAGUAUACAAAGUUGGUCCCUCUUUUAUCAGCAGACAAAUCUGAUGGGUUAAUAAAGAAAGGACUGAAUUUCCCCCUCCUUUCCCAUUUGCCCCUCCUUAACCCAUCUGCUGGUCCCCCAAGCUCAGCCUGUCACCUCAGGUCACGAUGGGAUCUUCUGGGCUCGUACGUCAUUCACAAGAAAGAUCUUGCCAUGAGAAAUGAGUUAACAAGCCUUUUGAUGUGCAAGUCAUCAGAGGCUGCUCCGCUCACCUUCUGAGAUAAAUAUAUGUGUAUGUGUGGAGAAAGCUGAAGAAGAAAAGGAAGCAUUGGAAUAAAUUGCCCCGGGAGGUGGGAGAUUCUCUGUUAAAAACAGGUCUAGACAAACAUCUGUCAGAAAAUACCGACGUCUAUUUGAUCUUGUCUUGGAUCUGGGGAAAAGACUGAAUGGUGUUGUCAAGUCCUUUUCAGCCCUGAGAGAACACAGUUGUACACAUAUAUAUGCUCACGUGUGUGUGUGUAGGUGUAUACAUAUAUAUAUAUACACUUUUACAUGUGUGUGUGUAUAAAUGUAUAUAUUUCCACACUUUUUGUGACCGGCUCUUGGCCUCCAUGAUACUUUGUGGCAGUGAAUCUUGCAAGCUAAUUACACACAAGUUUGUGUCUCUCAGCCUCAUUAAAUUUGAGUUUCAGUUCUGUUUAA
This is a long non-coding RNA of Pseudopipra pipra, 1921 nucleotides long. RefSeq lists it as uncharacterized. The transcript is spliced from 3 exons. The record is from RefSeq and is a predicted model, not a curated record. NCBI's taxonomy places the organism in Eukaryota, Metazoa, Chordata, Aves, Passeriformes, Pipridae.